UACGUAGGGGGCUAGCGUUGUCCGGAUUUAUUGGGCGUAAAGAGCGUGUAGGCGGCCAGGUAGGUCUGCUGUGAAAACUCGAGGCUCAACCUCGAGAUGUCGGCGGAAACCAUCUGGCUAGAGUCCGGAAGAGGAAAGUGGAAUUCCUGGUGUAGCGGUGAAAUGCGCAGAUAUCAGGAAGAACACCAGUGGCGAAGGCGACUACCUGGCCUGUUCUUGACGCUGAGGCGCGAAAGCUAGGUGAGCAAACGGG
RNAcentral lists this ribosomal RNA (253 nucleotides) under uncultured bacterium. RNAcentral's name for it is "partial 16S ribosomal RNA". It matches the Rfam family "Bacterial small subunit ribosomal RNA", at positions 524 to 776 of the family's 1533-position model. The record is from RNAcentral.